Molecule: long non-coding RNA, 203 nt
Organism: Zea mays
Lineage: Eukaryota; Viridiplantae; Streptophyta; Magnoliopsida; Poales; Poaceae
Exons: 3
Source: RefSeq, a predicted model, not a curated record
UUGUCUCUUGCCCACCAGUCCACCACGCUCAACUCUGCCUCGACGACAUGGACAGCACCGCCCGCUCCGCCGCCUGUUCAUCCUAGCGUCCUGUGCCGCCGCGACCUACAGCUUGCCUUUCGAAACACGUUGAGUAAUACCUCUCCUCCUUAAGGACUGCAACGACGAGUGUUCCUUCUCCUUUUUGAAUCCCAUAAGUUGCA